This 1215-nucleotide long non-coding RNA is filed under the name Callithrix jacchus (white-tufted-ear marmoset). RNAcentral's name for it is "lncRNA (ENSCJAG00000082461.1)". Lineage: Eukaryota; Metazoa; Chordata; Mammalia; Primates; Cebidae. The record is from RNAcentral.
CUUUUCUCUGAAUGGAAUUGUUUUUAAUUGAACCAAGCCGUUUUUUUAUAAUGCCAGCAUGUUUAUUGGUGAUCGUCCUGAGUAAUCCUUGCAAUGCACCAUAAUAAAACCUUGAAGCAAUGGCAUGCAGAUUGAGACAUUAGGAGAAAAUACAAAAAUGGGGUCUAGGGUUUACUCUCCAGGCAAGGUUAAUGGAGAGGCUGAAUAUGAUGAAGAAGGUCAACAAUGAUGAGACAGGAGACGAAAGAGCAUUUACAGUUGGAAUAACAUUAUCAUUUUAGAUACAAAAACCCUGAAGUGACGCUGACAUUAUCCAAGCUCUGAUAAUCGAAAUUCUUAUCAGAUGUGAAGAGAUACUAUUUUUGAAAUUUUAAUCCCUGAUGCUGUUUGCUUAUGAUAUCAUCUUCAGAUUGCCACACCAACACCUCAGAUUUCAAGGAAUGCUUUGAGGACUCUGGAAAACAGUAAUCUACAAAAUCCAGUUCCACUGUGUUUCAGUGCCAUGGAAUCCCAUGUAAGGUGCUUGCUGUUAUACAAGCACCUUUCAAGGUAAAUGAGCAAAUGACACAGCUGGAAGAUUUUCGGGGGUGUGGAGCCUGGCUGGACAAAUCGUCACAUUUCAAGCUGGCCAUGUAGCACUAAGCAAUAUGGUGCUUGUUUUGUGCCACCAGGGCCAGGAAGCUCAACAAGUCCUGAUAUAUAUUCACAUUUAGCUGAGUCCACAGCAUAAAUGCUUUUUCUUUCCUCCUAGAAGUGCAGAAUAUUGAUUCAAUUGCUAUCCCUGGGAAGACAGAUGGGAUUAAGAUUUCAUCUAUUUGCCUUUGUAUGGAAAUCUGUUUGCCUUUGUAUAGAAAUCUUUUCUAUCCAAUGGGACAUGGAGGAAUGACCUACAAGGGCAGGCACUGCCCCCUCCGACAGGCCCUGGUGUGUGAUGUUUCCCUCCCUGUGGGAAUGACAAUUUGAAGUGCUGAAAGAAAGCAACUGCCAAUCUAGAAUUCUACAUGCAGUAAAAUUGUCUUCAAAAUUCUAAGUGAAACAAAAAUGUCUUCUGGCAAAAACUGAAAGAAUUCAUCACCAGCAGGCCUGCAAUACAAGAAACACUGAAAGAGCUUCUCUGGAAAGAUUGAAGUAUUUCAGAGAGAAACAUGGAAAUACAGGACAGAAUGAACAACAACAAAUAGGUAUGUUGCUAAAUGAGUAUUGAACACAUAAAAG